RNAcentral lists this ribosomal RNA (253 nucleotides) under uncultured bacterium. RNAcentral's name for it is "partial 16S ribosomal RNA". It matches the Rfam family "Bacterial small subunit ribosomal RNA", at positions 524 to 776 of the family's 1533-position model. The record is from RNAcentral.
GACAGAGGUGCCGAGCGUUAGGCGGAAUCACUGGGCUUAAAGCGUGUGUAGGCGGACCGUUAAGUACCUUGUGAAAUCCCACGGCUCAACCGUGGAACGGCUGGGUAUACUGGCGGUCUUGGGCCACUCAGGGGCGAGCGGAACAAGUGGUGGAGCGGUGAAAUGCGUAGAUAUCAGGAAGAACACCUAUGGCGAAAGCAGCUCUCUGGGACGGUACUGACGCUGAGACGCGAAAGCGUGGGGAGCGAACAGG